AACUUUUAGGUACUGUGUGUCAGUUAGACCCCUUAAGUUUGGUAUGGACCCAAAGAUCAGCGGUUUGUAUCUCCCUUUGGAGAAACCAGACCUGUCCAUGAGGUCUCUGACAGUUCAUUCUUUUGUUUCUGACAUCCACCAGUUCUUUUUUUCACCUCUCUUUUAUUUUUUUCUUCCUUCCCUCGUCAUUAUAACAGGAGCAGUCUACUUUAUAAUACACUGUUCGAAGGCAAUUUAAUAUUCAGUUAAUAUUUUGAAAAAGCGGGAGAAAAUUCAGAACGAGGAUUUGGAAUAAAAGAUUAAUUUCUGCACUUACGGCUGCAAGUCUCCUCUCCAUUUCCAGCAGCGCCUGCUCCAUUUGGCUUUUAUCUGUCAGAGCUUUCAGCGUCGAGUCACAGUGACUUUGAAGAGCAUCUUGCACUGAACAGGGAAAUCAAUAAAAAACACAUUUGGUCUUUCAUUUGUAAAUGUGAAUAAAGCACUAUCAAUACUAUUGCUAGUUCCUCCAUGGCUUGGCAUGAAAUACUUCACUGUGCUGUGCAACCACAGUGAUUCACCCGCUGAGAUCUCCCCGAGCCCGAAGCGAUGAACAAUAGGGGAGAUGUUUAAUGCAAAGCACUUGAAAAUUAUAAGAUGCUUCGUAUAGGGCCAACCUCAUUUGCUGUGCGCGAUUAAUAUGGCAGCUGGAAAUGAAAGGGCUACAAAAAGCUGCAAAGCUUGGUUCAAUGCAAGGAAAGCUGAGGGUUCUGGAGCUGCACAACAGGCACGGUCAGGGGAGAGGAACCCAAAAUAUCUGACCCAUGGCAGUGUAACUGACCCUCUUCUGUCACCAGGUUCUGUCACCAGGAGCUUGAAUGUGUGAUGGGAAGAACAGUGUUGCUGAUAACAGGCAGGAGAUGCAAGAGGUUCAUGGCUAAGAAGUGCAACCAGGGACCAGAUGACAGAAAAUGCUGGAGAUCACUGGAGGAAAGCUGUGGCUCGCAGAAUGGCUUUGUGACAGCGGAGUGAACGUUUGAGUGGCCCUUUCAGACUUUGCAUCCGCCUGGUUAGACCCAAGGGCUACCUGCAAUCUGAGAGUAGGUUUCUGGGGAGCCUGCCAGCCCCUCCUUGGCCUGCAAGCCCAUAAAGAGGAGGAGACAGCAGUGACCAAAGGAGAAAACUCCUUUCGCAUCACUUCAUCACUUUCCAUCUCCACAUAGCGAGCACACAGCAUCAGCAAACUUAGCUCAGCUUGCUGCUCUUCCCCAAGUGCUUAAUUUUAGUUCAGAAUUAUUUUUAAAACUUUGUGAUUUCCCUAGUCUGUCUGUGCUUCUACAACAUGGUAUCCUCGGCCUAAAAAUAGCCCCACAUCCACUGGGCUUGUGAUCUGCACAUACGUUUGACUCAGCACAGCGUGCUGCAGGCAAGCAACCGACAGCCAGCCUUUGGAACACAUUUAAUUUGCAUGUGUAGGAGUAUUCUGCAGGAAAAAAACCCUCAGUACAGAGGAGGGGCACUCGCCUUCCCUCUCUGGCUUCCAUACCAGAGAAGUGUUCAAACUUGUCAAACACUAUUAAAGAAAAUAAAAAUGAACCUUAAUCUAGACUUAAAAGAAUAGGCAUUGAGACGGCCAAACCAGAUCACAUCAAGGACUCUGUGUCAAAUUUCUUAUCUUUGAAAAUGAUCAAGAACAGCUGCUUCAGAGAAA
This is a long non-coding RNA of Columba livia (rock pigeon), 1687 nucleotides long. RefSeq lists it as uncharacterized. The transcript is spliced from 2 exons. Lineage: Eukaryota; Metazoa; Chordata; Aves; Columbiformes; Columbidae. The record is from RefSeq and is a predicted model, not a curated record.